AAAUUGAAGAGUUUGAUCAUGGCUCAGAUUGAACGCUGGCGGCAGGCCUAACACAUGCAAGUCGAACGGUAACAGGAAGCAGCUUGCUGCUUCGCUGACGAGUGGCGGACGGGUGAGUAAUGUCUGGGAAACUGCCUGAUGGAGGAUGUCUGGGAAACUGCCUGAUGGAGG
This 171-nucleotide ribosomal RNA is filed under the name Enterobacter hormaechei. RNAcentral's name for it is "partial 16S ribosomal RNA". It matches the Rfam family "Bacterial small subunit ribosomal RNA", at positions 1 to 179 of the family's 1533-position model. Lineage: Bacteria; Pseudomonadati; Pseudomonadota; Gammaproteobacteria; Enterobacterales; Enterobacteriaceae. The record is from RNAcentral.